This 301-nucleotide ribosomal RNA is filed under the name uncultured bacterium. RNAcentral's name for it is "partial 16S ribosomal RNA". It matches the Rfam family "Bacterial small subunit ribosomal RNA", at positions 509 to 807 of the family's 1533-position model. The record is from RNAcentral.
CAGCCGCCACGGUAAUACGAAGGGGGCUAGCGUUGUUCGGAUUUACUGGGCGUAAAGGGCGCGUAGGCGGACUGAUAAGUCAGGGGUGUAAUCCCAAGGCUCAACCUUGGAACUGCCUUUGAUACUGUUUGUCUUGAGUUCGAGAGAGGUAAGUGGAACUGCGAGUGUAGAGGUGAAAUUCGUAGAUAUUCGCAAGAACACCAGUGGCGAAGGCGGCUUACUGGCUCGAAACUGACGCUGAGGCGCGAAAGCGUGGGGAGCAAACAGGAUUAGAUACCCCCGUAGUCCCUGUCUCUUAUAC